This 961-nucleotide ribosomal RNA is filed under the name Cordyceps sp. 97009. Its description in RNAcentral is "eukaryotic LSU rRNA". It matches the Rfam family "Eukaryotic large subunit ribosomal RNA", at positions 1 to 991 of the family's 3401-position model. The record is from RNAcentral. Lineage: Eukaryota; Fungi; Ascomycota; Sordariomycetes; Hypocreales; Cordycipitaceae.
GUUGACCUCGGAUCAGGUAGGAAUACCCGCUGAACUUAAGCAUAUCAAUAAGCGGAGGAAAAGAAACCAACAGGGAUUGCCCCAGUAACGGCGAGUGAAGCGGCAACAGCUCAAAUUUGAAAUCUGGUCCCCAGGGCCCGAGUUGUAAUUUGUAGAGGAUGCUUUGGGCGCGGUGCCUUCCGAGUUCCCUGGAACGGGACGCCAUAGAGGGUGAGAGCCCCGUCUGGUCGGAUGCCUAGCCUCUGUAAAGCUCCUUCGACGAGUCGAGUAGUUUGGGAAUGCUGCUCAAAAUGGGAGGUAUAUGUCUUCUAAAGCUAAAUAUUGGCCAGAGACCGAUAGCGCACAAGUAGAGUGAUCGAAAGAUGAAAAGCACUUUGAAAAGAGGGUUAAAAAGUACGUGAAAUUGUUGAAAGGGAAGCGCCUAUGACCAGACUUGGGCCCGGUGAAUCAUCCAGCGUUCUCGCUGGUGCACUUUGCCGGGCACAGGCCAGCAUCAGUUCGGCGCGGGGGACAAAGGCUCUGGGAAUGUGGCUCCCCCGGGAGUGUUAUAGCCCACUGCGUAAUGCCCUGCGCCGGACUGAGGUACGCGCAUCGCAAGGAUGCUGGCGUAAUGGUCAUCAGCGACCCGUCUUGAAACACGGACCAAGGAGUCGUCUUCGUAUGCGAGUGUUCGGGUGUCAAACCCCUACGCGUAAUGAAAGUGAACGCAGGUGAGAGCUUCGGCGCAUCAUCGACCGAUCCUGAUGUUCUCGGAUGGAUUUGAGUAAGAGCAUACGGGGCCGGACCCGAAAGAAGGUGAACUAUGCCUGUGUAGGGUGAAGCCAGAGGAAACUCUGGUGGAGGCUCGCAGCGGUUCUGACGUGCGAAUCGAUCGUCAAACAUGGGCAUGGGGGCGAAAGACUAAUCGAACCUUCUAGUAGCUGGUUUCCGCCGAAGUUUCCCUCAGGAUAGCAGUGUUGAA